CUACGGGGGGCAGCAGUGGGGAAUAUUGCACAAUGGAGGAAACUCUGAUGCAGCAACGCCGCGUGGAGGAUGACACUUUUCGGAGCGUAAACUCCUUUUAUAUAGGAAGAAGAUGACGGUACUAUAUGAAUAAGCGCCGGCCAACUCCGUGCCAGCAGCCGCGGUAAUACGGAGGGCGCAAGCGUUACUCGGAAUCACUGGGCGUAAAGAGCGUGUAGGCGGAUUUAAAAGUCAGAAGUGAAAUCCUAUAGCUUAACUAUAGAACUGCUUCUGAAACUCUUAAUCUAGAAUAUGGCAGAGGUAGAUGGAAUUUCUGGUGUAGGGGUAAAAUCCGUAGAGAUCAGAAGGAAUACCGAUUGCGAAGGCGAUCUACUAGAACAUUAUUGACGCUGAGACGCGAAAGCGUGGGGAACAAACAGGAUUAGAUACCCGCGUAGUC
Molecule: ribosomal RNA, 439 nt
Filed under: uncultured bacterium
Lineage: Bacteria
Description: partial 16S ribosomal RNA
Rfam family: Bacterial small subunit ribosomal RNA
Source: RNAcentral